CCUAGAGUUGUAGGCUUUGCCUGCUAUCUCUUACCCAUGUCUUUUGAGUACCUUACGUUUCCUCGGCGGGUCCGCCCGCCGAUUGGACAAUUUAAACCCUUUGCAGUUGAAAUCAGCGUCUGAGAAAACUUAAUAGUUA
RNAcentral lists this unclassified non-coding RNA (139 nucleotides) under soil metagenome. RNAcentral describes it as "partial internal transcribed spacer 1". The record is from RNAcentral.